GUAGGUGCAAGCGUUGUCCGGAAUUAUUGGGGCGUAAAGCGCGCGCAGGCGGUUCUUUAAGUCUGAUGUGAAAGCCCACGGGCUCAACCGUGGAGGGUCAUUGGAAACUGGAGAACUUGAGUACAGAAGAGGAAAGCGGAAUUCCACGUGUAGCGGUGAAAUGCGUAGAGAUGUGGAGGAACACCAGUGGCGAAGGCGGCUUUCUGGUCUGUAGCUGACGCUGAGGCGCGAAAGCGUGGGGAGCAAACAGGAUUAGAUACCCUGGUAGUCCACGCCGUAAACGAUGAGUGCUAAGUGUUAGGGGGUUUCCGCCCCUUAGUGCUGCAGCUAACGCAUUAAGCACUCCGCCUGGGGAGUACGGCCGCAAAGGCUG
Molecule: ribosomal RNA, 373 nt
Filed under: uncultured organism
Description: partial 16S ribosomal RNA
Rfam family: Bacterial small subunit ribosomal RNA
Source: RNAcentral